GCAGUUGUUUGGGCUGUCGCUGUGGCUGGUUCUGCGGUGUGCGGCCAGCCAUGGAGCGCUCUGGGCCCAGCGAAGUGACAGGCUCAGACGCAUCGGGACCGGACCCGCAGCUUGUGGUCACCAUGGGCUUCACGGGGUUCGGGGUUCGGUAAAAAAGCUCACACAUUUGACUUGGAAGCAAUGUUUGAACAAACUCAAAGAACAGCUGUGGAAAGAAGUCACAAAACACUGGGCCACCAGGAACACACCUGUAGCCCAGCAAAGUUGAGGCCAUCGACUGGCUCAUCACAACAAGGAAGGCUGUGCACCACUGGGACCCAGCAGCAGCUCAGCAGCAGCAGUGAGAGGGCCUUGGGAAAGACUUGGAGGGUUUGGCUUAUACAAGACCAGAUUACAGAGGGGUAUUGAUUUGCCUUGCCCCCGCCCCCACCAUCACAGUGUGUCCCUGUCCAGUGUUGGUGCUGUGUGGCAUUGCUUGUGUCCAUAGGAGUCCAUCAAGGCAGAGCGGCAGAGCGGCAAGCAGAGCGGCAAGGCAGUUCAACCCAAUGGAAAUGGAUUGAAAGAGUGAAAGUCACUGGUCUCAAAGAAUCUACGGAAUUUAGCAUUUUGAAAAUCACAGAGCAAUUUUGGGUAGGUAUUCACAUGCACUAAAAAACCAGGCAAACAUCUGACUCCCAGGAUAAAGUGACUGAGAGCAGUAGAAGACUUGUUGAGCCUUAAGGAAUAAGAGGAAAAUUAUGUUAUGAAGUGCAGGAACAGCACAGACCCAGACGAGGGGAUGCAGCCCGGAGCCAGUAACCCGGCGCCUCCUCCUCCCCAGGGCGCAGCGCUGGCUGCUCCCCGGAUACCGUGAUCACACGUCCCAGGUCCUGAGAGCGCCUCAUAGGUAGACAGUUCUUUGGGACUUUUGGGACGCAGCACUUGAAGAGAGGUUUACCUAAACUUUCCUCCUGGGAGCCUGUCAUCAUUUGAAAGUAACAGAAGAAAGCUGUCAGGCUGAGGAAAGUUUCAACAGGCACUUGGUGAGAAUGGGAAGCAUCCAUUCAUUGGGAAAUCACGGGGACAGAGGAGGAAUUCACGGGAUCAGAGCACUGAGAAACUCCAGAGGCUUCUGGUUCACCGCCCUGAUUCCACAGAUGUGGGUCAGAGGCAGAGAUGGAAGUUGGAAUGGACAAGCCUGCCCUCUCCUCAGCUCUCCAUGGCUCUGUCCUCAGGCUGUUUCUGCAAUUUGACAUGAGGCCUGGCCCCAGGGAAACCAGUGGGGCCUCAUCUCCUCCCUGUGCUGCUCUGAGGUGGAGCCUUCUCAGGGUCAGUCCAGCUCUGGAGCCCCUCUCCAGCUCGGUCACCAAAGCUGUCUGGUCCCAGGGCAGUGUGGAGUGACAGGCACGCCAGCCAAUCCAAUCGGCCAUUUCAUACCCAAUGCAUGUGACUGAUAAAGAGAUAACACCCUGUCUCCAAGACACAGGCUUUACAUAAACAGCUUUAAUGACUUCUUCACUUAGGGACAAGACUCCUUAGUGGUGGAACCUCAGGCAUCCAUGCAGGAUGUAAGAAAGCUCCCGUAUAUACAUGAACUGAGAAGUGUGUAGAAGAGUAAAUACUGUAAUAGGUAAUAAAAUGUAUGUAUUUUUAUUUA
RNAcentral lists this long non-coding RNA (1636 nucleotides) under Homo sapiens (human). RNAcentral describes it as "non-protein coding lnc-RAB23-53:16". Lineage: Eukaryota; Metazoa; Chordata; Mammalia; Primates; Hominidae. The record is from RNAcentral.